Molecule: long non-coding RNA, 2648 nt
Filed under: Monomorium pharaonis (pharaoh ant)
Lineage: Eukaryota; Metazoa; Arthropoda; Insecta; Hymenoptera; Formicidae
Description: uncharacterized LOC118646590
Source: RNAcentral
UUCUCUUUCAUUUUAUUUUUAACAACUUGUAAAAGUUAUUAACCUAAUAAUAUUAAUUAAAUUUAAAAUCUCGUAGAAAAUGUUCUUAACAUUUACGACUCUAUUUUUUGGCAAAAUUAAAAUCGUAAAUGGUUGACCUAAAAAAAUCUUUAUAAUCAGAAAAAACUCGAGAGAACAUUUGAAUCGAAAUAUUAUUAUUUUCAGAAACAGCUGGCAACUGUUUGUCCUGAGGCGCCUCCAAAAAUAAGAGUAGCGUUCUCGGGAGUUACGAAAGUUAUAAGAGCGCGUGCGCGCUUGGGACAAAUAUCCAGAACUGAGUCGGUCGUGGGUGGUUGGCGGUGGUGGAUAGCCGAGGGUGGUGGCGACGAAGGAUAGCGACAGCGGCUGCGGAGAGCGUAGCAGCGAGUAACAGAGGCAGUAGUGGUGGAAGCAACCCCGGGGUUGCGUUCCGCCGACGGGGGUGGAAGUCGCACGAAACUGAGGGUUGCCCGCGCCACUCGCUCGUACUCGCUUGCGCUCGCUCGCACUCGCACCCCCAGCCGGCCGGGGUGUUACCAUGGAUACGGCGCUCGCGCCUUGACAUUGACAAAUGGUUGGCCGAGGAAAGCGAAUUAUGAAAAGCGAGCAGUGUUAAAUUAAGUAAAAUAAUCGGAGAACAUGAUUGUAAUAAAGUGAAUAUGAGGAAAGGAAAGGAAAAUUUUCACUGCUACGCGUUUCUUGACAUCACGACUUGUCUCGUUAGCUUCUUGCACCGCCAAUGCCGACUACGCAAACUGCCGACUAGGCGCUUUUAUUGGAUGACGCCUGGCAGAAAGCAUCGAUGGCAGCAAAAAUAAUUGGUACCUUCCCCGAUUCUCGACGCUGCCGCGUAACAAGGUCCAUUUCCAUGGAAUAACCAUCAGCGGUAAUUGGCACCUACAGCAACACCGCGAUGCUCUUUGGUCCUCCACCCACCCUAUCAUAUUUCAGAACAGGCAGUAUGCCAGACAGAGACGUGGGGAGGAAAUUUGGUCCAGGGGAUAUGUGCGAAUAGAAAAUGUGUUUCAUACAGCAACAGUACCCUUUCGCUUUUCAAUCGUACUCGGAGAAGUGAUUCCAAGAGCGGUAGAUAUAAUAAAGCGAAGCGAAGCCAUCGACAGCUCGCUAACAACUUCUACCCAAUUCUUCUGCCAAGAUUUCCUACCUAUAAAACAUCGGUCAUAUGACGGUGGUUUGCUGAUUACGAAAUGCCGAUAUGUUGACGAUCUUGACAAGAUUUUGCGUUCUUUUGCAAAUUACUCUUCUAUUAAGUGACAAAACAUUUCCUCACUAUCAUGUGAUUCUUCAACGAAAUCUGUUGCAUAAUCUUCGAUAUCUAAUCGUAUAUCAUAAUAUCGUCUGCUGUUCUAACAUAAUUCAAUGCGCUCCGAUAGUUUUACUUUUUACUUUUUACCGUAGCUAUACGCGCUUACUUUUUUGUACAAGACGAAAAAUAUAAACAAAUCGAUUUGUGUAAAAAAAAAUUUUAAGCAUUGGAAAUUUUACAAUUAAAUAUUUGUGUUUAGUUAAAUAUUUACAAAAAAUCUAAAACGUGCCUCAAAUAAAAUAAUCUUUUCAACGUCAAAUAAUUUAUCUCUUUCCUUUAUGCUCUAUGAAAAUUAGAACGUUGAGUGUGACCAAAAGAUUUUGUUUAAAAAUUAAAUAAAAUGAAUACAUUACUGAGACAAGGAUCUUAUUUUUUUUUUCGAAUUUUGAAUAAAACAAAACUAAUCAAUAUUCAGCCAAAAAUGUGAAUUCCUACGUCGGGUAUGCGUAAUAAAGUAUGAUACAAAUAUACACAAGAUGUAGCAUUUAAUGCUCACGUUUCAAAAAACACUAUACAAUGGACACUCUCUAACAUAGACCACCCUUGACAUCGUUCUUCCUUUCAUCGUGUGAAUUUAAUAAAACAGAACCGAUGAGUUCAAGUACACAAAUGAUCGAGUGUAAUCUUUUCUCUCUCUCUCUCUCUCUCUCUUUUUCUCUCUGCAUACCUUGUACCUGUAUGUGUCGUAUAUGUGUAUCUGUGUAUAUGACUGUAUGUAUGUUUAUGUAAGUUUGAAUAAACAUGAACAUGUGUAAGAGUGUACGUAUGCCUGGGUAUGUGUGAUGGCUCGAGAGGCUUGUGCCCUUUAGUACAAUUAUAUGUAUGCACGUAGUCCCAUAAUACUUAAUACUUUACAUCAACGUGUGGUAUCCCACUGUUCGAUCCUCCGUUUUAACUUUUGACCAAAGCGUCUUGUGGAACUUCACGUUUCCCUUAUCUUUUCGUAUACGCGAGAGUGUACAAUCCGGGCAACGAGCACAUCUCCUCCGCUCGCGAUAAGCACGUAGAAAGGAUUUUCGACUGCUAUACAUAACUACACCACAAUCACAUUUCUCUCACGCUCUCCCUUGCACACGUUCCUCUCAUUCGUUCUGUUCUUUUCUCUUUUAUCCUUUUAUUCAUCUCUUUCAUACUUUAUCUCAUUUUUUUCACUCCUCUUGCUAUCACAAUCGUGUAAGUUAAUAUCGAAGAGCGAUACGAUUUACAAAGCAGAACACAAUUCAUAUAUUUCAUUCUUUUUUCUUUAAUUUAUUUGCAGUUUUUUCGUUCUCUUAUGUAAGGGCGUCAAUAAGUCGUCAAUACG